This 594-nucleotide unclassified non-coding RNA is filed under the name Hevea brasiliensis (rubber tree). The record is from RNAcentral. Lineage: Eukaryota; Viridiplantae; Streptophyta; Magnoliopsida; Malpighiales; Euphorbiaceae.
GAUAUGGCUAUUCGUGUUACCUUCUCCUACUCUGGUUAUGUCGCCCAUAACAUUGCUACCUGCGCCGGCAUCCGGGUUGGAAAUUGCCGCCCCCUCCGCGAGUGUUGGGUUCGUUCACGCAUAUUCGGUUCUCCUCCCAUGCAAAACGCGGAUCUCGAACCUCCUGCACCGCGGACGCGCGACUUCCGAUCAGGAUACCGGCGCCCAAUCCAGAAGCCGAAUUCCUGGGUAAAGUGUUCGGUUUCGAUGAACAGUACUUUCACCGGAGAGAUAUUUGGAGAAAACUCUAAGAGUCCGAUUGCGGUCGGAUUGAUCUCGCUGAUGAAGUCAACGGUUGGGUUUUCAGCUUCUUCCGCCGUUUCGGGAAUUUCGCCAAUUAAAGCCGACUCGAUCCUUCCCUUUUUGCAGGGUUCUAGGUGGCUUCCUUGCAAUGAGCCGGCUCCUGGGCCGAAGAGUAGCGACGUGGAUAAAGGAGGGACGGUACGGUAUGUAAUGAAUGAGAGUAAUAGUACUGUGACGUUGGAGAUUAACGGGAAGGAGUUUGGCAAGGGCGGAAGCUGGUUAUCGAAAGUGUUCAGUUUUUGCUCGGAGGAU